Long non-coding RNA from Pipistrellus kuhlii (Kuhl's pipistrelle), 160 nucleotides. RefSeq lists it as uncharacterized. The record is from RefSeq and is a predicted model, not a curated record. Lineage: Eukaryota; Metazoa; Chordata; Mammalia; Chiroptera; Vespertilionidae. The transcript is spliced from 3 exons.
UCAUUUUCAAUUUCCAGCAUUUCUAAAUUUUCUAAAUCUCUGUUUUCUGGCCAAUGAAAAGUAAUUAGGAUUCUAUCAAGUCUUCUAUCUUCUUACUCCAGGACUUCUGUGAGGAUUAAAUGAGAUGAGGCAUGGGAAAACACUUCACAGACAUUUGGUU